CAGUAGCCGCGGUAAUACGAAGGGGGCUAGCGUUGCUCGGAAUGACUGGGCGUAAAGGGCGCGUAGGCGGAUGGCACAGUCAGAUGUGAAAUUCCCGGGCUUAACCUGGGGGCUGCAUUUGAUACGUGUUGUCUAGAGUGAGGAAGAGGGUCGUGGAAUUCCCAGUGUAGAGGUGAAAUUCGUAGAUAUUGGGAAGAACACCGGUGGCGAAGGCGGCGACCUGGUCCUUGACUGACGCUGAGGCGCGAAAGCGCGGGGAGCAAACAGGAUUAGAUACCCCUGUAGUCCCUGUCUCUUAUAC
Molecule: ribosomal RNA, 301 nt
Filed under: uncultured bacterium
Lineage: Bacteria
Description: partial 16S ribosomal RNA
Rfam family: Bacterial small subunit ribosomal RNA
Source: RNAcentral